Molecule: ribosomal RNA, 1273 nt
Filed under: Talaromyces minioluteus
Lineage: Eukaryota; Fungi; Ascomycota; Eurotiomycetes; Eurotiales; Trichocomaceae
Description: partial small subunit ribosomal RNA
Rfam family: Eukaryotic small subunit ribosomal RNA
Source: RNAcentral
UACCCUACUACAUGGAUACCUGUGGUAAUUCUAGAGCUAAUACAUGCGCAAAACCCCGACUUCGGAAGGGGUGUAUUUAUUAGAUAAAAAACCAAUGCCCCUCGGGGCUCCUUGGUGAUUCAUAAUAACUUCACGAAUCGCAUGGCCUUGCGCCGGCGAUGGUUCAUUCAAAUUUCUGCCCUAUCAACUUUCGAUGGUAGGAUAGUGGCCUACCAUGGUGGCAACGGGUAACGGGGAAUUAGGGUUCGAUUCCGGAGAGGGAGCCUGAGAAACGGCUACCACAUCCAAGGAAGGCAGCAGGCGCGCAAAUUACCCAAUCCCGAUACGGGGAGGUAGUGACAAUAAAUACUGAUACAGGGCUCUUUUGGGUCUUGUAAUUGGAAUGAGAACAAUCUAAAUCCCUUAACGAGGAACAAUUGGAGGGCAAGUCUGGUGAACCUCAGUGUUCUAACAUGCUGACGCCAGAGAUAGUGGGCCUCGUCCCCCCCGUGGGGGGGCGGGGUAUGCCCGCUAGUCGAGCAUUCGCAAUAGCGAUGGGUGAAUGCCGGCGAGGUGACCUGGUACGGGGAAGCCUACGGCCCAAUCCGAUUGGGCUAUGGUAAUCCCGUGGCGAGCCCCCUUCCGGGGCCGUCGUAACGCGCGGAAAGGCACCGGUUGCUCGCCUCCGGGCGGGUGACUCGAGGGACGUGCUGUCCCAUCCAAAAGGAUGCCCGUAACUGGAACACCCAUCGUGUAAAGGUUACGGGGGGUGGUUUACGCCGCCUGGGUGAUAUAAACGGCCAGCAGCCGCGGUAAUUCCAGCUCCAAUAGCGUAUAUUAAAGUUGUUGCAGUUAAAAAGCUCGUAGUUGAACCUUGGGCCCGUCCUGCCGGUCCGCCUCACCGCGAGUACUGGUCCGGAUGGGCCUUUCUUUCUGGGGAAUCCCAUGGCCUUCACUGGCUGUGGCGGGGAACCAGGACUUUUACUGUGAAAAAAUUAGAGUGUUCAAAGCAGGCCUUUGCUCGGAUACAUUAGCAUGGAAUAAUAGAAUAGGACGUGCGGUUCUAUUUUGUUGGUUUCUAGGACCGCCGUAAUGAUUAAUAGGGAUAGUCGGGGGCGUCAGUAUUCAGCUGUCAGAGGUGAAAUUCUUGGAUUUGCUGAAGACUAACUACUGCGAAAGCAUUCGCCAAGGAUGUUUUCAUUAAUCAGGGAACGAAAGUUAGGGGAUCGAAGACGAUCAGAUACCGUCGUAGUCUUAACCAUAAACUAUGCCGACUAGGGAUCGGGCGGGGUUU